Molecule: microRNA precursor, 71 nt
Filed under: Mus caroli (Ryukyu mouse)
Lineage: Eukaryota; Metazoa; Chordata; Mammalia; Rodentia; Muridae
Description: microRNA 3964 (MGP_CAROLIEiJ_G0007412.1)
Source: RNAcentral
GGGCCUGCUUUCCAAGUUAUGCAGCUAGCAAGAACUCACAGCUUCAUAAGGCAGAAAGCACUAAAUGGGUC